UGAGGAAUAUUGGUCAAUGGGCGGAAGCCUGAACCAGCCAAGUAGCGUGCAGGAAGACGGCCCUAUGGGUUGUAAACUGCUUUUAUACGAGAAUAAUUUGAUGCACGUGUGCGUUAUUGCAUGUAUCGUAUGAAUAAGGACCGGCUAAUUCCGUGCCAGCAGCCGCGGUAAUACGGAAGGUCCAGGCGUUAUCCGGAUUUAUUGGGUUUAAAGGGAGUGUAGGCGGUUUGUUAAGCGUGUUGUGAAAUUUAGAUGCUCAACAUUUAACUUGCAGCGCGAACUGUCAGACUUGAGUACACGCAACGUAUGCGGAAUUCAUGGUGUAGCGGUGAAAUGCUUAGAUAUCAUGAAGAACUCCGAUUGCGAAGGCAGCAUACGGGAGUGUAACUGACGCUUAAGCUCGAAGGUGCGGGUAUCGAACAGGAUUAGAUACCCUGGUAGUCCGCACAGUAAACGAUGGAUGCCCGCUGUUAGCGCCUGGCGUUAGCGGCUAAGCGAAAGCAUUAAGCAUCCCACCUGGGGAGUACGCCGGCAACGGUG
RNAcentral lists this ribosomal RNA (540 nucleotides) under uncultured bacterium. RNAcentral describes it as "bacterial SSU rRNA". It matches the Rfam family "Bacterial small subunit ribosomal RNA", at positions 355 to 896 of the family's 1533-position model. The record is from RNAcentral.